GCCCUUCUCUUUUGCAAAUUUCCAUGCAGAAUUCUCAGCCAAGGUCUUUGAGACCACAUACCAAAGCUUAGAUUCCUUGCAAAAAUCUGGAUCAGAAACCCAAGUUUCAUCAACUACUACCUCUGGAGCCCGAGGCUUUCCAUUGAAAGCAACUGCAGCCAUAGAUGACGUCAAGACAACUCGUUUGACUGAUGGGACUUUUGCACAUGAGUUAAGAACAUUAAGUGU
This 228-nucleotide unclassified non-coding RNA is filed under the name Hevea brasiliensis (rubber tree). The record is from RNAcentral. Lineage: Eukaryota; Viridiplantae; Streptophyta; Magnoliopsida; Malpighiales; Euphorbiaceae.